CCUACGGGUGGCAGCAGUGAGGAAUAUUGGUCAAUGGACGCAAGUCUGAACCAGCCAUGCCGCGUGCAGGAAGACGGCUCUAUGAGUUGUAAACUGCUUUUGUACGAGGGUAAACGCAGAUACGCGUAUCUGUCUGCAAGUAUCGUACGAAUAAGGAUCGGCUAACUCCGUGCCAGCAGCCGCGGUAAUACGGAGGAUUCAAGCGUUAUCCGGAUUUAUUGGGUUUAAAGGGUGCGUAGGCGGUCGGAUAAGUUAGAGGUGAAAUCCCGAGGCUCAACUUCGGAAUUGCCUCUGAUACUGUUCGGCUAGAGAGUAGGUGCGGUAGGCGGAAUGUAUGGUGUAGCGGUGAAAUGCUUAGAGAUCAUACAGAACACAGAUUGCGAAGGCAGCUUACCAAGCUACGUCUGACGUUGAGGCACGAAAGCGUGGGGAGCAAACAGGAUUAGAUACCCGAGUAGUC
RNAcentral lists this ribosomal RNA (460 nucleotides) under uncultured bacterium. Its description in RNAcentral is "partial 16S ribosomal RNA". It matches the Rfam family "Bacterial small subunit ribosomal RNA", at positions 338 to 795 of the family's 1533-position model. The record is from RNAcentral.